This 483-nucleotide ribosomal RNA is filed under the name uncultured bacterium. RNAcentral describes it as "partial 16S ribosomal RNA". It matches the Rfam family "Bacterial small subunit ribosomal RNA", at positions 30 to 507 of the family's 1533-position model. The record is from RNAcentral.
UUGAACGCUGGCGGCAGGCCUAACACAUGCAAGUCGAGCGGAUGAAGGGAGCUUGCUCCUGGAUUCAGCGGCGGACGGGUGAGUAAUGCCUAGGAAUCUGCCUGGUAGUGGGGGAUAACGUCCGGAAACGGGCGCUAAUACCGCAUACGUCCUGAGGGAGAAAGUGGGGGAUCUUCGGACCUCACGCUAUCAGAUGAGCCUAGGUCGGAUUAGCUAGUUGGUGGGGUAAAGGCCUACCAAGGCGACGAUCCGUAACUGGUCUGAGAGGAUGAUCAGUCACACUGGAAAUGAGACACGGUCCAGACUCCUACGGGAGGCAGCAGUGGGGAAUAUUGGACAAUGGGCGAAAGCCUGAUCCAGCCAUGCCGCGUGUGUGAAGAAGGUCUUCGGAUUGUAAAGCACUUUAAGUUGGGAGGAAGGGCAGUAAGUUAAUACCUUGCUGUUUUGACGUUACCAACAGAAUAAGCACCGGCUAACUUCGUG